This 86-nucleotide small RNA is filed under the name Flavobacterium sp. 1. RNAcentral's name for it is "Flavo-1 RNA". It matches the Rfam family "Flavo-1 RNA". Lineage: Bacteria; Pseudomonadati; Bacteroidota; Flavobacteriia; Flavobacteriales; Flavobacteriaceae. The record is from RNAcentral.
GCAUAGCCCCGAUGGAAAUGGCAUCCUUUUUAUAAAGUAAUUUUUCUUUACUUUAUAAAAAGAUAUAAUGGACAGCGGGACUGAAC